CCUACGGGAGGCAGCAGUGGGGAAUUUUGGACAAUGGGCGAAAGCCUGAUCCAGCAAUGCCGCGUGCAGGAUGAAGGCCUUCGGGUUGUAAACUGCUUUUGUACGGAACGAAACGGUUCGCCUUAAUACGGUGGGCUAAUGACGGUACCGUAAGAAUAAGCACCGGCUAACUACGUGCCAGCAGCCGCGGUAAUACGUAGGGUGCGAGCGUUAAUCGGAAUUACUGGGCGUAAAGCGUGCGCAGGCGGUUAUAUAAGACAGAUGUGAAAUCCCCGGGCUCAACCUGGGACCUGCAUUUGUGACUGUAUAGCUAGAGUACGGUAGAGGGGGAUGGAAUUCCGCGUGUAGCAGUGAAAUGCGUAGAUAUGCGGAGGAACACCGAUGGCGAAGGCAAUCCCCUGGACCUGUACUGACGCUCAUGCACGAAAGCGUGGGGAGCAAACAGGAUUAGAUACCCUGGUAGUCCACGCCCUAAACGAUGUCAACUGGUUGUUGGGUCUUCACUGACUCAGUAACGAAGCUAACGCGUGAAGUUGACCGCCUGGGGAGUACGGCCGCAAGGUUGAAACUCAAAUGAAUUGACGGCUGAGACGUAGCCGACGGACGACGACGAGGGAGGAGGG
RNAcentral lists this ribosomal RNA (623 nucleotides) under uncultured bacterium. Its description in RNAcentral is "bacterial SSU rRNA". It matches the Rfam family "Bacterial small subunit ribosomal RNA", at positions 338 to 955 of the family's 1533-position model. The record is from RNAcentral.